This 253-nucleotide ribosomal RNA is filed under the name uncultured bacterium. RNAcentral's name for it is "partial 16S ribosomal RNA". It matches the Rfam family "Bacterial small subunit ribosomal RNA", at positions 524 to 776 of the family's 1533-position model. The record is from RNAcentral.
UACGUAGGGUGCAAGCGUUAAUCGGAAUUACUGGGCGUAAAGCGUGCGCAGGCGGUUUUGUAAGUCUGUCGUGAAAUCCCCGGGCUCAACCUGGGAAUGGCGAUGGAGACUGCAAGGCUAGAGUUUGGCAGAGGGGGGUAGAAUUCCACGUGUAGCAGUGAAAUGCGUAGAUAUGUGGAGGAACACCAACGGCGAAGGCAGCUCGCUGGGACGGUACUGACGCUAAGGCGCGAAAGCGUGGGGAGCGAACAGG